AUCAGCUGCCCACCUCCAGGACCCAGAUGGAGAUGUUGCCAUUGCGUGACUACAUUAUGGGUCUCAGUGAAGAGGAAUGGGAUUCAUUUUCUGAUGCUAUGACCAACCCUGUGACAAAGGCAUAUUUCCUUGAGGUGUGCUUGAUCUUAGCCAAACACAUUAACUUGAGUGCGCUUCAGAUCGUCAUGCCAAACCUUGCCAGGAGGCUAGGAGACGACCCAGGGUUUUUGAUGGUAUCAGACGAGAGCCAUGGCUAUGGAAACGUUAUCGGCACUGGGCCAAAAACCCCAUCAAUCGUCCCUAAAGCAGG
Sardina pilchardus (European sardine) is the source of this 310-nucleotide long non-coding RNA. RefSeq lists it as uncharacterized. The transcript is spliced from 3 exons. Lineage: Eukaryota; Metazoa; Chordata; Actinopteri; Clupeiformes; Clupeidae. The record is from RefSeq and is a predicted model, not a curated record.